Molecule: ribosomal RNA, 477 nt
Filed under: Candidatus Scalindua brodae
Lineage: Bacteria; Pseudomonadati; Planctomycetota; Candidatus Brocadiia; Candidatus Brocadiales; Candidatus Scalinduaceae
Description: bacterial SSU rRNA
Rfam family: Bacterial small subunit ribosomal RNA
Source: RNAcentral
UUCGCAAUGCCCGAAAGGGUGACGAAGCGACGCCGCGUGGGUGAGGAAGGCCUUCGGGUUGUAAAGCCCUGUCAGGAGUUAAGAAAUGUAAGUGCGCUAAUAUCGCAUUUAUUUGACGAAGGCUCCAAAGGAAGUCACGGCUAACUCUGUGCCAGCUGCCGCGGUAAUACAGAGGUGGCAAGCGUUGUUCGGAAUUAUUGGGCGUAAAGAGCACGUAGGUGGGUUUGUAAGUCAGAUGUGAAAGCCUUCUGUUCAACGGAAGAAUUGCAUCUGAAACUGCGAGUCUUGAGUGUAGGAGGGGAGAAUGGAACUUCUGGUGGAGCGGUGAAAUGCGUAGAUAUCAGAAGGAACGCCGGCGGCGAAAGCGAUUCUCUGGCCUAUUACUGACACUCAGUGUGCGAAAGCUAGGGGAGCAAACGGGAUUAGAUACCCCGGUAGUCCUAGCCGUAAACGAUGGGCACUAAGUAGAGGGGUUUU